This 1060-nucleotide ribosomal RNA is filed under the name Cladosporium sp. RNAcentral's name for it is "SSU rRNA". It matches the Rfam family "Eukaryotic small subunit ribosomal RNA", at positions 64 to 1136 of the family's 1831-position model. Lineage: Eukaryota; Fungi; Ascomycota; Dothideomycetes; Cladosporiales; Cladosporiaceae. The record is from RNAcentral.
UCUAGUUAGCACUCCCAUUGAAACUGCGAAUGGCUCAUUAAAUCAGUUAUCGUUUAUUUGAUAGUACCUUACUACAUGGAUAACCGUGGUAAUUCUAGAGCUAAUACAUGCUAAAAACCUCGACUUCGGAAGGGGUGUAUUUAUUAGAUAAAAAACCAAUGCCCUUCGGGGCUCCUUGGUGAAUCAUAAUAACUUAACGAAUCGCAUGGCCUUGCGCCGGCGAUGGUUCAUUCAAAUUUCUGCCCUAUCAACUUUCGAUGGUAGGAUAGUGGCCUACCAUGGUAUCAACGGGUAACGGGGAAUUAGGGGGCGACUCCGGAGAGGGAGCCUGAGAAACGGCUACCACAUCCAAGGAAGGCAGCAGGCGCGCAAAUUACCCAAUCCCGACACGGGGAGGUAGUGACAAUAAAUACUGAUACAGGGCUCUUUUGGGUCUUGUAAUUGGAAUGAGUACAAUUUAAAUCCCUUAACGAGGAACAAUUGGAGGGCAAGUCUGGUGCCAGCAGCCGCGGUAAUUCCAGCUCCAAUAGCGUAUAUUAAAGUUGUUGCAGUUAAAAAGCUCGUAGUUGAACCUUGGGCCUGGCUGGCCGGUCCGCCUCACCGCGUGUACUGGUCCGGCCGGGCCUUUCCUUCUGGGGAACCUCAUGCCCUUCACUGGGCGUGUUGGGGAACCAGGACUUUUACUUUGAAAAAAUUAGAGUGUUCAAAGCAGGCCUUUGCUCGAAUACAUUAGCAUGGAAUAAUAGAAUAGGACGUGUGGUUCUAUUUUGUUGGUUUCUAGGACCGCCGUAAUGAUUAAUAGGGAUAGUCGGGGGCAUCAGUAUUCAAUCGUCAGAGGUGAAAUUCUUGGAUUGAUUGAAGACUAACUACUGCGAAAGCAUUUGCCAAGGAUGUUUUCAUUAAUCAGUGAACGAAAGUUAGGGGAUCGAAGACGAUCAGAUACCGUCGUAGUCUUAACCAUAAACUAUGCCGACUAGGGAUCGGACGGUGUUAGUAUUUUGACCCGUUCGGCACUUACAAAAAUCAAAGUUUUGGGUUCUGGGGGGAUAUGGUCGCAAGC